Molecule: ribosomal RNA, 346 nt
Filed under: uncultured bacterium
Lineage: Bacteria
Description: bacterial SSU rRNA
Rfam family: Bacterial small subunit ribosomal RNA
Source: RNAcentral
AUGUUAAUAGCAUAUUCAUUUGACGUUAGCUGCAGAAGAAGCACCGGCUAACUCCGUGCCAGCAGCCGCGGUAAUACGGAGGGUGCGAGCGUUAAUCGGAAUUACUGGGCGUAAAGCGCAUGCAGGUGGUUUGUUAAGUCAGAUGUGAAAGCCCCGGGGCUCAACCUCGGAAUUGCAUUUGAAACUGGCAAACUAGAGUACUGUAGAGGGGGUAGAAUUUCAGGUGUAGCGGUGAAAUGCGUAGAGAUCUGAAGGAAUACCGGUGGCGAAGGCGGCCCCCCUGGACAGAUACUGACACUCAGAUGCGAAAGCGUGGGGAGCAAACAGGAUUAGAUACCCCUGGUAG